UGUGGGGAGAGCGGGGGGGGGAGGAGGUGGUGGCUGGAAAGAUUGGGGACGGGGUUAGAAGGGGCGCGCGCAGCGCCCGUCCCUCCCGUCGGCUGCUGCUCACCCAUUCUCUCCCGGUGUGUCUGUCUCGUCUGCAGCGUUGGAGGUUGGCUCGGGUCCCCGCCCUCUGCGCCCCCCCACGGGAAGGAAACACCCCCCCUCCCCAUACACACAACCCCACCCCCCGGUAUUCAAAAAGAGCGGAGCGGAGCGCCGCGUCCAGUCGCCGGCCGGGGGGCGAGCCGAUGCCGAGGGGCGCCGCCGCGUCCGCCAUG
RNAcentral lists this non-coding RNA (314 nucleotides) under Dipodomys ordii (Ord's kangaroo rat). The record is from RNAcentral. Lineage: Eukaryota; Metazoa; Chordata; Mammalia; Rodentia; Heteromyidae.